UACAAGGCAGACGGCUCAGUAACACGUAGUCAACCUACCCUAUGGACAAGAAUAAUCUCGGGAAACUGAGCAUAAUUCUUGAUAGAUCAUAAUGCCUGGAAUGGUUUAUGGUUAAAAUGAUUCGUCGCCAUAGGAUGGGACUGCGGCCUAUCAGCUUGUUGGUGAGGUAAUGGCCCACCAAGGCGAUUACAGGUACGGGCUCUGAGAGGAGAAGCCCGGAGAUGGGUACUGAGACACGGACCCAGGCCCUAUGGGGCGCAGCAGGCGAGAAAACUUUGCAAUGUGCGAAAGCACGACAAGGUUAAUCCGAGUGAUUUCUGCUAAAGAAAUCUUUUGCCAGUCAUAAAACCACUGGUGAAUAAGGGGUGGGCAAGUUCUGGUGUCAGCCGCCGCGGUAAAACCAGCACCUCAAGUGGUCAGGAUGAUUAUUGGGCCUAAAGCAUCCGUAGCCGGCUUUGUUAGUUUUCGGUUAAAUCCAUGUGCUCAACGCAUGGGCUGCCGAAAAUACUGCAUAGCUAGGGAGUGGGAGAGGUAGACGGUACUCAGUAGGAAGGGGUAAAAUCCUUUGAUCUAUUGAUGACCACCUGUGGCGAAGGCGGUCUACCAGAACACGUUCGACGGUGAGGGAUGAAAGCUGGGGGAGCAAACCGGAUUAGAUACCCGGGUAGUCCCAGCUGUAAACGAUGCAGACUCGAUGAUGCGUUGGCAUAUAGCCAAUGCAGUGUCGCAGGGAAGCCGUUAAGUCUGCCGCCUGGGAAGUACGUACGCAAGUAUGAAACUUAAAGGAAUUGGCGGGGGAGCACCACAAGGGGUGAAGCCUG
Molecule: ribosomal RNA, 821 nt
Filed under: uncultured marine group I thaumarchaeote
Lineage: Archaea; Thermoproteati; Nitrososphaerota
Description: SSU rRNA
Rfam family: Archaeal small subunit ribosomal RNA
Source: RNAcentral